UGACAAAAGGUCUAUUUAGCUCCCAGGACGAUUUAUAUAAAUGUCAAAGAGAGGAGAAAGUACUUAAGAUUACAAGUUAUCUAAAGCAAAUGCUGAAAAAGGACAGAGAAAAUAAUUCUUCCCUUCUUUUCAAUAGGGAAAAUUAAGCCUCUUAUUUUUAAUUUGCAUUUGUCCUUCCAAAAGCAAGAAAUAAAAACCUUCUUUGAAAAGCAGUUAAAUGCUGCAUAUUUCAGAAAAGUGCUCUUUGGUUAUAGGAGUGGGAGUUAUGCAAGACUUUAAGGAGGAGCUGAGUGUGACGACUUGAAACAUGGUUAGGACUGAGCAAUGUGCAGUUUAGGAAAAAGCGCCUUGUAGGGGGAUGAAGACAGCUGGUCUUGCUUUUCCUUAGGGAGAAUCUGAGGUAUGCGGUUUGGGUGGCUUAGGGCUCCUUUUGUUCUUGUCUGUGACUAGGACACCAGAGCAGAAAGGCCAAUACUCUUCACAUCCUGGAAAGACUACAGACUGCUAUAUAGAGAUGCAGACUCAAGAAGUCCGGCUAGGAGGACACCAGUGGCUGUGGUCAGCUACCUUUGAACAUGUCUUUACAUUUUGA
This 592-nucleotide long non-coding RNA is filed under the name Chinchilla lanigera (long-tailed chinchilla). RNAcentral's name for it is "lncRNA (ENSCLAG00000023686.1)". Lineage: Eukaryota; Metazoa; Chordata; Mammalia; Rodentia; Chinchillidae. The record is from RNAcentral.